This is a long non-coding RNA of Brachypodium distachyon (stiff brome), 741 nucleotides long. RefSeq lists it as uncharacterized. Lineage: Eukaryota; Viridiplantae; Streptophyta; Magnoliopsida; Poales; Poaceae. The transcript has 2 exons. The record is from RefSeq and is a predicted model, not a curated record.
UGCGCUGCGUGCGCCCCGUCGGUGUGCCGCCAAAUUCCUCCUCCCCGCCGGGAGCAAGCGUGGGGAUCGAGGCGACGGGGACUCGUAGAGGCGGAGGCGGACCGACUGGAACCCAAAUUGUAGGGUUCCUCGAUCCUCUCUGAUCGGACCGAUCCGAGACGUCCUUCCACCCUAAUUUCCUCUCGCACGUAUCAAAGGAACCGGGGAUAGAACUCUUCUGUUCACACAAGCAACUCCAGUUUGAAUGGAUCCCUCUCGAGGACCCUCGUGGAACUUGCGACGUCUGAAAGGUGAUGCAUACGUCCUGUUACCUGAGCACGAUCAUGUUACUUGAACUUUACUGCAUCCUUCCUAGUUAUUUCGUAUGCAGCACAAUGUUGCAACUCACUUUAUCCUUUAGUUUAUCUUUAUAUGAUGUGACGGUUCAACAAGAAUCAUAACAGCCUUUUCAUUCCUGUCAAGAGGUAAUUGAUUAUUAUUUUUUGUAAUCUAAUAACUUUCUGUCAUCCAAAUAAAAUAGAAGCAGAUUCAUAAUUAAAUUAUUGUGAGCAGAGUCAUAAGGAAGAAGAUAGCCAGUGAGGCUACUAUGAUUAUUCUUUGUUGGACAACAUAAUCAGAGCCAUCCUGACAUCUUCUUCUUGGAAUGGAAUAAUCAGCAAGUUAGUAAAGGGCCUGCCUGGUGUCAGUCACUAAUUAAUUACGACCUACAUAUGUACAAUAGACUAUGCUGGGGGGGGGGGG